ACGUAGGGUGCGAGCGUUGUCCGGAAUUAUUGGGCGUAAAGGGCUCGCAGGCGGUUUCUUAAGUCUGAUGUGAAAUCUUGUGGCUUAACCACAAGCGGUCAUUGGAAACUGGGAGACUUGAGUACAGAAGAGGAGAGUGGAAUUCCACGUGUAGCGGUGAAAUGCGUAGAUAUCGGGAGGAACACCUGUGGCGAAAGCGGCGCACUGGACCACUACUGACGCUGAGGAACGAAAGCUAGGGGAGCAAACAGGA
RNAcentral lists this ribosomal RNA (253 nucleotides) under uncultured prokaryote. Its description in RNAcentral is "partial 16S ribosomal RNA". It matches the Rfam family "Bacterial small subunit ribosomal RNA", at positions 525 to 777 of the family's 1533-position model. The record is from RNAcentral.